CAUUACACAACAAAAAUAUGAGGGUGUGGUUUGCUGGCAACAGCGUCCGCCCCAAGUAUUUUUCACCCAUGUCUUUUGCGCACUUUUUGUUUCCUGGGCGAGUUCGCUCGCCACCAGGACCCCACCAUAAACCUUUUUUUAUGCAGUUGCAAUCAGCGUCAGUAUAAUAAUUCAAUUUAUUAAAACUUUCAACAACGGAUCUCUUGGUUCUGGCAUCGAUGAAGAACGCAGCGAAAUGCGAUACGUAGUGUGAAUUGCAGAAUUCAGUGAAUCAUCGAAUCUUUGAACGCACAUUGCGCCCUUUGGUAUUCCAAAGGGCAUGCCUGUUCGAGCGUCAUUUGUACCCUCAAGCUUUGCUUGGUGUUGGGCGUCUUUUUGUCUCUCCCCUUGUUGGGGGAGACUCGCCUUAAAACGAUUGGCAGCCGACCUACUGGUUUUCGGAGCGCAGCACAAAUUUGCGCCUUCCAAUCCACGGGGCGGCAUCCAGCAAGCCUUUGUUUUCUACAACAAAUCCACAUUUUGACCUCGGAUCAGGUAGGGAUACCCGCUGAACUUAAGCAUAUCAAUAA
RNAcentral lists this small RNA (569 nucleotides) under Exserohilum rostratum. RNAcentral's name for it is "eukaryotic LSU rRNA". The stretch from base 184 to 337 matches the Rfam family "5.8S ribosomal RNA". The record is from RNAcentral. Lineage: Eukaryota; Fungi; Ascomycota; Dothideomycetes; Pleosporales; Pleosporaceae.